Molecule: ribosomal RNA, 549 nt
Filed under: uncultured Rhizophagus
Lineage: Eukaryota; Fungi; Glomeromycota; Glomeromycetes; Glomerales; Glomeraceae
Description: SSU rRNA
Rfam family: Eukaryotic small subunit ribosomal RNA
Source: RNAcentral
UUGGAGGGCAAGUCUGGUGCCAGCAGCCGCGGUAAUUCCAGCUCCAAUAGCGUAUAUUAAAGUUGUUGCAGUUAAAAAGCUCGUAGUUGAAUUUCGGGGUCAGUAGGUCGGUCGUGCCACUGGUAUGAACUGGUUUUACUGAUUCCUCCCUCUUGAAGAACUGUAAUGCCAUUAAUUUGGUGUUGCAGGGAAUCAGGACUGUUACUUUGAAAAAAUUAGAGUGUUUAAAGCAGGCUUUAGCUUGAAUAAAUUAGCAUGGAAUAAUGAAAUAGGACGUUUGAUCCUAUUUUGUUGGUUUCUAGGAUUGACGUAAUGAUUAAUAGGGAUAGUUGGGGGCAUUAGUAUUCAAUUGUCAGAGGUGAAAUUCUUGGAUUUAUUGAAGACUAACUACUGCGAAAGCAUUUGCCAAGGAUGUUUCCAUUAAUCAAGAACGAAAGUUAGGGGAUCGAAGACGAUCAGAUACCGUCGUAGUCUUAACCAUAAACUACGCCGACUAGGGAUCGGAUGAUGUUAAUUUUUUAAUGACUCAUUCGGCGCCUUACGGGAAAC